GCCUGGUCCCCACUGGAACCCAGGGAACCCAUCCACACUGCUAGAUAUACACAGAAACCCUCCCCUCAUACAAAUAAUAUGAACAGCCCCCACACACACAACACACAAUCCCCACAAACGCAACAAUAUACAUACAUGCACACAACCCCACAUGCAGCCUCUCACAUGCAAUACCCCACACAGCCCCCACACACUACCAAACACACAAUGGGACAUAUCCAUC
Molecule: non-coding RNA, 223 nt
Organism: Pelobates cultripes (western spadefoot toad)
Lineage: Eukaryota; Metazoa; Chordata; Amphibia; Anura; Pelobatidae
Source: the annotation of a GenBank genome assembly